GAAGUCGGUGAAAAACUACACGGCAAACCACUCUUCCGUAUCAGUUUCCGGAAAAAAAGUCCAACAUUCCAAAUUGAUUUAGUGAACGGGUUCAGGCGGAAAGUGCUGCAUUCAAUUAAUUUUAGUAAACCGCGUUGUAAGAUUCGUGAAAAAGAUUUCAAAUCCGAUUCGAUCCAGCCAUUGUAAGAUGCAGCAGGAAAGUGUGAAUUUCCACUUGGUCGUCUUUGUUCGGUCCUGCUUUUGCGAAAAUUGCUAGAAGUUACCAAAUUGAGAGAGACGAAAGCAACGGAAGCACCCCAUUUCGACCCCAUCUGCUCAGGUCGAGAUCGAGUCGAGGACGAAUCGUGAUUGAGUCCCAAGUCCAGUUGAGCUGCACAGGAUCGAAUUGAAUUGAUUGCAUUCAAUUCCUCCGAAGGAAAUUCUCGGAAAUCACACGUCCUUAAUUCGGCCUAGUUCGUAAAACUUGUCGAAACUUACAAUUUUCUCGCGACUGGAGCUGCAAAAGACGAAAGCGAAUCCUUAUGAUCGGUUCAUUUUGGAAUUUGUGUAGAGCGUGCCCAUCAAUGCCCGUCGACAAGCUCCAUUCGGAAUACCGGAGCACAUAUCGGUGGCAUGAGUACACGGGAAAUUCUCGCCCAGAGGUGGUUCGGAAGCCUCCCGUACCUAACCAAUUCGCCAGCUCAACGGAACACUUCUUUUCCAAAUCGAUGGAGGAUGAGAAGUCUACUGAAGGUCCGAUCAACGAACCACCUCUGCCCAGGCGUAAAAAGUGCCCCGAAUUGGCAUAUAGGACACAUGAUUUCAUUAGUGGUUCUGGCAAUGCACCAUCAGCAACAAACUUACGAAAUGAUAACGAAUCUGUAACUCGCGCUAGGUCUGAGGAACGGGGAACACCUUCGAGGCGAAGUAAGUCAGAAGGUCCACCAGGAGUGGCUAAUGGCAGGGCAUAUCCUUAUGAGAAUGAUGUCGCGGCCAGGCAUAACGGAACUGUUCCUGAAAAGGCGGGUGAGUCUAGUGGACUGUUCAAAAAGACAAUCACAAAAUUGAGUACAGAAUAUCGCCUACAAUUUGUUUGGCCCCAUGUUCGUAAGGCGAUCAAAGGGGAUUCAAAUAAUGCCCAAGAUACCCCUAGAAAGUCUUUAUCAAUGGGAGCUAUUAAAUCAUCACAAACGAAUGCAAUGCCAACAGUUCAUAAAAAACGCACAGCAAACGAAAAAGAAGCUACAGCUUAUGAACUGGAACCGCUCGUGAACGAUGCAGAGGAGCGAAAACCUAUCGAAAAGCAAGCGAAUACGGAGCAAAAAUCUAAUCGUCCUUUUACACAAAUGGCGGAGCAGGAACGUCAUCAUCGGUCGCUUACACGAAAGGAGAACUUUGGUUUCAGCGAAGAAAGGGCGGAGCAAAAUGCUGAUAGUAAGACUUUAGUUAACGGAACAGGACCAUAUGGUGAAGAAUGGUAUAAGGAUGUAAUUGAACUUCGAAAGAAAGCUGGUGAAUAUAAGUGUCGAGGAUGGGGAAUAGAAAUCGAUCCUGAGCUUUAUAAGAAGCAAAAAGAACUUUGGGAUCAAGUUUCGAGACGAAGCUCCCUCUCUGCCUUAUCACUAGCAUCUUCUGUUCAUAGACCAAUUACAAAAGAAGAAAAAGAACAGGAAAAUAACAAGAAAUCUUCUCCAACUAAAUCGACUAGAGGAAGAGUUCCUGGACAAGCACAUUCUGUUGAUAAUAAAACAAUUCCUGAUGGACCUAUACUGCCAGCACGCGUUCAAACCAUUCGUCAUCAUCUAGAAAGGACAACUGGGCCUGACGUUGAAGAAGGAGCAUUGCUUCCAUCGCCAACUCGCGAGAAACUUAUGCCAACUAUUCCAAAAUCUAAGGAAUCCGAGCCUUAUAGUUCGUCUCAACGUGGUAGCCCAAAGAAAAGUGCCACAUCACGUCAUGGAAGUCCUCAAAAAGGUAGCCCACAAAAGGGUAGUCCCAAAAAGACUAUGAAAGGUCGCUCGCAGUCCGUUGGACCGAGCGCUAUUGACGCGAGCGAAUCGCCAAAACGACAAAUCCGUUCCGUGAGCACAGCUCCCUCUGCAGCUAAAGCCAAUAAGAAGACGCCCGUUGCAACACCGACAACUGGAGAGCGAAGACCUAGACCAUCUACCCUAUCCACAUCAACCCAUUCCCGUUCGAAAAGUAGUUCCUUACCUCCUAGUGGUAGAGUUCAUUCAACCUCUGGUACUCAUCAUAUACAAUCAAUAUCACAAAAUGAUACAAAUAAGACAUCAACUACUACAGCCUCAGCCCAAGGGGCAAAUCAAUCCCAUCCGAUUAUGCGUAAGACUAAUAAAUCCUCAAAACAAAUGAGACCAAAAUCGGCAGUUGUAAAUGGCCCCGCGAACAAUGCUAUGACUGAAUCGACGAUUUUGAGUGAUGUUCAAACUGUGCCUAAAAAUCAGGAUCAAAAAAAAUUGGCAGAAAAUGAGGAAGAAAGCCAUGAAAAAGAUGGCGGUGUUUCAAUUGCAAGUCAUAGUCCACAGCCACCCCAGACCGAGAUUACUGAGCAUAUUGUCAAGUCGCCACCGGAGCCUACUCGCGUCAAGUCCCCUGAGCAAAUAAUCAUGAGAUCACCAGAUCCUGUCAAUUGGACCGUCCCAUUGGAUACUGGGAAAACUUUUACAGUGACCCAGAAUGUUAAAGAUGGUGAAAAUUUCAGUCGACCACAGAGCGAGGUGAAGGCAUCAACACCAAUUGAACGACCUCCCCCGGCUCCACAGUCCGCUCCACCAGAAUUGGCUGAGCAAGCAAAAAUGGAAGCUUGGAAAAAUCCCGGAGCGAACAGUGAAAGAAAAAAUUCAGGAGGACCUAGUCCCACUGGUCUGAAGAAACCUCCGGAGAUUCGUUAUGAUAAACCAGUGCCAGGGUCGUCGAUACGUUGUCUGGAUGAUCCAUCUUUUGAAUCCGACCCUGUUACCAUUCGUACUACAGCUGCUGAUGUCCUAGAGAAGGCUCGUGACCGUUUUGAUCGUUUCUGGGGUGCAAGUAAAGAAGAAAGUGUUUAGAGAGGGGGAAAUGUAAUUUGGCUUUCUUAAACGCGGCUUUCAGCUCAAAAUGCACGCCAUCAAAACGAAAACCAAGUAAAAUAUUUUAUGACAGGGUAACCAGGAGAAAUUUGGCUGAAAUUUUAAAAAUUUUGAAAUGAAACUUAUGCAAACCUCAUACACUUCGCUGACGCCAAAAUUACACCAACACAUACAGCGUAUAGGAUGCAUUCUACUAUACGGAUAGCAUUGUCAAUGAAGUAGAACAACAUUAAAGUUUAAUUUCCGGAGACCAAGUUUAGAAUCGAAAGUUUUAUCUAAUGAACAGACAAAACCAAAAUAUAACGUUUUGCGUCCUUAAAACUAAAACUACGACUAAACUAAAUUUUGAAAGCCACAAGGAUAAGUCUUUGGAGAAACAGCACAGCAUGCAAAAUCAUUUGAGAUUAAAACAAAUAAAUGCUAUUUAGUAAGCUCUGUAAGUUCCACAUAGGUUCCAGAUAGAAAAGUUGAAUUUUUUUACAACUACAAAUGAAAAGAUGCAGAUAGGAUUGAAUAAAAUCAUGCACGUCACACAUCAUGCAAUAAUUGACAAAAAAAUGUUGAACUGCACAUCAAUUGAAAUUGAAGAAUAAAAUAAAUAAAAAAAAGCAAAAAAAAAAACAGAAACUCGAGAGCUUAUUCAACUAACGUGAAAUUAUACUGAAAUUUCAAUAUAUGGUCUCAAAUCUCAAUAAAAUGAAAACAACAACACAUUUUUUGAAUUUAAUGUAAUUUAAUCAACCAGAAAUGAUCAAGAAAGGCAGCGCAAAUAAUGUAACCGAAAGAAGAUAUAGCGCAAUAUUGGACUGACGCAAGAACACUAGAAAUGCAAGUGUGAGAUAUUUUGGAGAGACAUGUGAUAAUUUUACCGGAUUAAGGGGACAUUUCCUACUGUUAAACUCAAAAUCGGUUGUUCAGCAAGUUUUAUUAAAAUAAGUUCGAAUAUAUGCAUAAUUCGUGGUAGAUUUUAUAUAGAAGCUAAUUUCGGUUUAGACAAUGAAUUUAGAUCAAAUAUACCAAUUGGUCACGUUCAACCGAACUUUUCAAGUAACUUAGUGCUCCCCGUUCCUUCUAUAGUGUCGCAACAGCAACGACAUAGAAGAUUGCCAUAAAUCGUUGUUUUAUCAACUUUAACUUGAAAGAGGAUCUGCAUGCAUCUAUCCACAGAUAUAGUUCCGCAAUGGAAAAGUCCCCCAUUUCAUAAUUAGUUUAGUAAGACCUGAAUUCAAAGGUUCCCCUUAAUACUCUAAAAUUAAUCCAACAUCGGGAAGCAUAUUCAUCGGAAGAAUAAAACGAUUGUCGCAGAAUCUUUAUUAUAUCCAAUGGAAUCCAUCUUGCACCCAGUACAGUUGUGAAAUAAUGUUUCAUUAGCCACAAUAAAAAAAUGACGUAAAAAAUAAAUUAUCAUAACUAGAAUAGACUCCCAUGGAUGAAAAUAAGUCUAAGAUGAAAUUCUAGGUGAACUAAAUAAAUACAAACACGAAAAACAAUUGUUACAAUUAAUUAUAUGUAAACUUGUAAGAUGUAAUGUUGAAAUAAUUAAUUCUUCGCAUUAUAUUUGAGUCAUUUACCUCGAAUUCAAUUGGUAUAAAAAUGUUUGUUACACAAGAUGUUACUUAUCAUGAAUCCUUGAUUUUGUAAACAUAAAUAAAUUGAAAUGUAUACUUUUUGGUAAUAUAGGGCAAAGCGUUACCCUUAUGUACUUUAGGAGCCAUCAUCAUCUCUGAUCAAACCCAGCUUUGAAGGUACCAAUACCCAGAAUCAGACUACAUUGCUGAUUAAAAGGCUCAGUCAAUGUGCCACCAUGAUAUGUUUUUUUCUACGAAACAAGUGAUAAACUCUGUUUUCUUGUUAAUAUGUUAUCAAAUAUAUUUUUAUACAAAUACUUUGCUAUUUUGAAAAUGUUCGCAUAACGCCAAACAGCAUCAACGUAGAUAAAAUCAAGUUGCUUCUCUGUCACGAAGUUGAAGAAAUCAAUGAAAACGAAAGAUUUAAGACAGUAACCUGUACAAUAUAAUCAUUUUCUAUUUUUUACAAAGCAUUAAUUACCAAUUCUUUCUGCCCUGGGUUUAUGAAGUAUCUAACUUGUGAGUUACGCUAACUGUUUUUUAUCUAAAAUUGUACUAAUUUUUUACGCUGUGAACCUUUUAAUAAUUAUCCCCGCGCACAAUCUAUUAUACUUUCAAGAGAUUCAUUAGUUUUUCAUAUUAACCCUGCUAGUGUUUGGUCAUAUACUUAUUGACGUUUAUUAAAAGUGGAAGAGAAAGAUUUGAAUACAUAACAAGCGAGUAAAAUCAAAAUAUUUUAACGGUAACCUUAUUAUGUAGCCCAGCUACCCUAAAUAAAGUUAAAAGUUCUGAAUCCUCUUUCUUUGUGGAAACCUUCUUUUAUUAAUGAAUGAAAUUCAGAUGUGGCUUCCGCUCGUAUUUAAAUAUUUCAAUUUCAUUUCAAUGAAAUCUAUUAUUUGGUAAUAUUUCCAUUAUUAAAUAUUAUGAAGAUUAUUCUGAUAAUUCAUACGUAAUAACUUUUUUACAAACUGUGAGCAACAACUUAGAAUGGAUUUUCUUUUUUCAAAAAUGAUCCUUAUCACUGUCUAACUAUGAUAGUCUAAAUAUUGUGAAAUUUAAUGACUGUCUUUCGUAAUAAUAGUGAUAAACAUCCAAAGGAUUUUAAGUUGAGCACAUAGGAGAGACAUCCAUAACGAUACUACAUUUCUACAAGAUAUAGCUGUAAAGCAAAUAUAAUAUUACCAUAAUUACAUACAUUAAACAUGAUACCGAAAUCAAUAACAGGAAAACGAACAUUCAAUAUAAAAGGUGAAACUUUUAGCUUUAUAAAGUGAAGGAAUUCAAAAUAUAAUAAAAUGAAAACAAUAUGAAUCUAGUGACAACAAAUUAUAGAGAGUAGUUAUGAUUACAUCAUUAUAUUAUAUAUAUAUAAUAUAUAUUUCAAUA
Hermetia illucens (black soldier fly) is the source of this 6022-nucleotide RNA transcript. It is a transcript of the gene named serine/arginine repetitive matrix protein 2, with no coding region annotated. The transcript has 17 exons. The record is from RefSeq and is a predicted model, not a curated record. Lineage: Eukaryota; Metazoa; Arthropoda; Insecta; Diptera; Stratiomyidae.